RNAcentral lists this ribosomal RNA (406 nucleotides) under uncultured bacterium. RNAcentral's name for it is "partial 16S ribosomal RNA". It matches the Rfam family "Bacterial small subunit ribosomal RNA", at positions 29 to 526 of the family's 1533-position model. The record is from RNAcentral.
AUUGAACGCUGGCGGCAGGCUUAACACCUGCAAGUCGAGCGAGCGGCGGACGGGUGCGUAAUGUCUGGGAAACUGCCUGAUGGAGGGGGAUAACUACUGGAAACGGUAGCUAAUACCGCAUACCAUCAGAUGUGCCCAGAGGGGAGUAGCUAGUAGGUGGGGUAAUGGCUCACCUAGGCGGCGAUCCCUAGCUGGUCUGAGAGGAUGACCAGCCACACUGGAACUGAGACACGGCCCGGACUCCUACGGGGGGCAGCAGUGGAGAAUAUUGCACAAUGGGCGCAAGCAUGAUGCAGGCAUGCGGCGUGUGUGAAGAAGGCCUUCGGGUUGUAAAGAACUUGCAGCGAGGAGGCGUUACGCGCAGAAGAAGCACCGGCUAACUCCGUGCCAGCAGCCGCGGUAAUAC